CUACGGGGCGCAGCAGUGGGGAAUCUUGCACAAUGGGGGAAACCCUGAUGCAGCGACGCCGCGUGAGCGAUGAAGCCCUUCGGGGUGUAAAGCUCUUUCAGCAGGAACGAUUAUGACGGUACCUGCAGAAGAAGCUGCGGCUAACUACGUGCCAGCAGCCGCGGGUAAUACGUAGGCAGCAAGCGUUGUUCGGAGUUACUGGGCGUAAAGAGUGCGUAGGCGGUUCGGUAAGUUCGGUGUGAAAUCUCCCGGCUCAACUGGGAGGGUGCGCCGAAAACUACCGUGCUUGAGCAUGGGAGAGGGAAGCGGAAUUCCUGGUGUAGCGGUGAAAUGCGUAGAUAUCAGGAGGAACACCGGUGGUGUAGACGGCUUCCUGGACCAUUGCUGACGCUGAGGCACGAAAGCGUGGGGAGCAAACAGGAUUAGAUACCCUGGUAGUC
RNAcentral lists this ribosomal RNA (440 nucleotides) under uncultured bacterium. RNAcentral describes it as "partial 16S ribosomal RNA". It matches the Rfam family "Bacterial small subunit ribosomal RNA", at positions 339 to 795 of the family's 1533-position model. The record is from RNAcentral.